GUUGGGCACUCUAGCGAGACUGCCGGUAAUAAACCGGAGGAAGGUGGGGAUGACGUCAAAUCAUCAUGCCCCUUAUGACCUGGGCUACACACGUGCUACAAUGGCUGGUACAACGAGUCGCAAGCCGGUGACGGCAAGCUAAUCUCUUAAAGCCAGUCUCAGUUCGGAUUGUAGGCUGCAACUCGCCUACAUGAAGUCGGAAUCGCUAGUAAUCGCGGAUCAGCACGCCGCGGUGAAUACGUUCCCGGGCCUUGUACACACCGCCCGUCACACCACGAGAGUUUGUAACACCCGAAGUCGGUGAGGUAACCGUAAGGAGCCAGCCGCCUAAGGUGGGAUAGAUGAUUGGGGUGAAGUCGUAACAAGGUAGCCGUAUCGGAAGGUGCGGCUGGAUCACCUCCUUUCUAAGGA
Molecule: ribosomal RNA, 411 nt
Filed under: Streptococcus pneumoniae SP11-BS70
Lineage: Bacteria; Bacillati; Bacillota; Bacilli; Lactobacillales; Streptococcaceae
Description: bacterial SSU rRNA
Rfam family: Bacterial small subunit ribosomal RNA
Source: RNAcentral